UGUGUUUGUGUGAAUAUUAGCAUGGCUUAGUAGAUGCUGUUGCUAUCUAGUAAAUAGGAUAUCACAGCAUUUUACUGAGCCCUGCUAAAACGGGACAAA
This 99-nucleotide microRNA precursor is filed under the name Haemonchus contortus (barber pole worm). RNAcentral describes it as "microRNA hco-mir-9551 precursor". Lineage: Eukaryota; Metazoa; Nematoda; Chromadorea; Rhabditida; Trichostrongylidae. The record is from miRBase by way of RNAcentral.